CCUACGGGAGGCAGCAGUGAGGAAUAUUGGUCAAUGGGCGAGAGCCUGAACCAGCCAAGUCGCGUGAGGGAGUACUGCCCUAUGGGUUGUAAACCUCUUUUGUCGGGGAGCAAAAGCCGGACGUGUCCGGCUGUGAGAGUACCCGAAGAAAAAGCAUCGGCUAACUCCGUGCCAGCAGCCGCGGUAAUACGGAGGAUGCGAGCGUUAUCCGGAUUUAUUGGGUUUAAAGGGUGCGAAGGCGGAUUUUUAAGUCAGCGGUAAAAUCGUGGGGCUCAACCCCAUCCAGCCGUUGAAACUGGGGAUCUAGAGUGUGCGAGAGGUAUGCGGAAUGCGUGGUGUAGCGGUGAAAUGCAUAGAUAUCACGCAGAACCCCGAUUGCGAAGGCAGCAUACCGGUGCACAACUGACGCUCAGGCACGAAAGCGUGGGUAUCGAACAGGAUUAGAUACCCGAGUAGUC
RNAcentral lists this ribosomal RNA (458 nucleotides) under uncultured bacterium. RNAcentral's name for it is "partial 16S ribosomal RNA". It matches the Rfam family "Bacterial small subunit ribosomal RNA", at positions 338 to 795 of the family's 1533-position model. The record is from RNAcentral.